CAAUAGCGUAUAUUUAAGUUGUUGCAGUUAAAAAGCUCGCAGUUGGAUUUCGGUUAAGAGCGACCGGUCCGCCGUUUGGUGUGCACUGGUUGGUUUUAACUUCCUGUAGAGGACGUGCUCUGGGUUUAACGACCUGGACUCGGAGUCUACGUGGUUACUUUGAAAAAAUUAGAGUGUUCAAAGCGGGCUUACGCUUGAAUAUUUCAGCAUGGAAUAACACUAUAGGACUCCUGUCCUAUUUCGUUGGUCUCGGGACGGGAGUAAUGAUUAAGAGGAACAGUUGGGGGCAUUCGUAUUUCAUUGUCAGAGGUGAAAUUCUUGGAUUUAUGAAAGACGAACUUCUGCGAAAGCAUUUGCCAAGGAUGUUUUCAUUAA
RNAcentral lists this ribosomal RNA (375 nucleotides) under uncultured eukaryote. Its description in RNAcentral is "partial 18S ribosomal RNA". It matches the Rfam family "Eukaryotic small subunit ribosomal RNA", at positions 592 to 976 of the family's 1831-position model. The record is from RNAcentral.